GUGCCAGCCGCCGCGGUAAAACGUAGGUACCGAGCGUUAUCCGGAUUUACUGGGCGUAAAGCGUGUUCAGGCGGUCUAGCAAGUCGGGCAUGAAAUCUCUGGGCUCAACCCGGAGGGGUUGUCCGAUACUGCUGGGCUUGAGGGCAGCAGAGGGUGGUGGAAUUCCGGGUGUAGUGGUGAAAUGCGUAGAUAUCCGGAGGAACACCAGUGGCGAAGGCGGCCACCUGGGCUGUACCUGACGCUCAAACACGAAAGCUAGGGGAGCGAACGGGAUUAGAUACCCCGGUAGUCC
RNAcentral lists this ribosomal RNA (292 nucleotides) under uncultured bacterium. RNAcentral describes it as "partial 16S ribosomal RNA". It matches the Rfam family "Bacterial small subunit ribosomal RNA", at positions 505 to 796 of the family's 1533-position model. The record is from RNAcentral.